UAGGGAAUCUUCGGCAAUGGGGGCAACCCUGACCGAGCAACGCCGCGUGAGUGAAGAAGGGUUUCGGCUCGUAAAGCUCUGUUGUUAAAGAAGAACAUGCAGGAGAGUAACUGUUCUUGUAUUGACGGUAUCUAACCAGAAAGCCACGGCUAACUACGUGCCAG
This 164-nucleotide ribosomal RNA is filed under the name uncultured bacterium. Its description in RNAcentral is "partial 16S rRNA". It matches the Rfam family "Bacterial small subunit ribosomal RNA", at positions 355 to 511 of the family's 1533-position model. The record is from RNAcentral.